UGGGGAAUAUUGGACAAUGGGCGCAAGCCUGAUCCAGCCAUGCCGCGUGAGUGAUGAAGGCCCUAGGGUUGUAAAGCUCUUUCACCGGUGAAGAUAAUGACGGUAACCGGAGAAGAAGCCCCGGCUAACUUCGUGCCAGCAGCCGCGGUAAUACGAAGGGGGCUAGCGUUUUUCGGAUUUACUGGGCGUAAAGCGCACGUAGGCGGACUAUUAAGUCAGGGGUGAAAUCCCGGGGCUCAACCCCGGAACUGCCUUUGAUACUGGUCGUCUGGAGUUCGAGAGAGGAGAGUGGAAUUCCGAGGGUAGGGUUGAAAUCCGUAGAUAUUCGGAGGAAAACCAGUGACGAAGCCGGCUCACUGGCUCGAUACUGACGCUAAGGUGCGAAAGCGGGGGGAGCAAACAGG
RNAcentral lists this ribosomal RNA (404 nucleotides) under Actinomycetes bacterium. RNAcentral's name for it is "Actinobacteria bacterium partial 16S ribosomal RNA". It matches the Rfam family "Bacterial small subunit ribosomal RNA", at positions 355 to 776 of the family's 1533-position model. Lineage: Bacteria; Bacillati; Actinomycetota; Actinomycetes. The record is from RNAcentral.